GUCUAAAAAGCGUACAGAAUCCUUUUGUGUUUGUCAGCUAGGUACCUAGGGAGAGAAUCUCAGGGAUUUUCGAUGGUGGCGCCGUCACUUCUUAGCGGAGCUUUUUGGAAAGCCGCAGGCUAUGCCACGGCCGGGCUCGACUGCGCGAGCGUCUAGAAAACGUACAAAAUCCUUUUGUGUUCGACGGCUAGGUACCUAGGGAGAGAAUCUCUAGGGAUUUUCGAUGGUGGCGCCGUCACAUCUUGGCGGAGCUUUCUGGAACGCCGCCGCGAGUCAUGCAGCACAUGCAGCUUUCGUCUUGACAACCAUUUGACAACGUAGUCCGUGAACCGGUGUCCCGUAGCGACUUCGUCGUGGUCGUGACUGCCUCAGAGAACGUCUAGUACUGCCUUUGCUUGAUUGACGGACGUCGAGGGCGAAACAGAGCGAAGGUGCUGCAAUGCGCUGCCUUGCCACAAGUGAAAAGUCCGUGAGGCCGGCCUGAGGGUGGCUCUGACAUGAGGCUCCCUUGUCGCCUAUGUCCAGGUGAUGCAAGCCAGAAAGACCAUUACAUGAAGCAAUGAUGGGCGAACAUAUACAUGGAGAACGAACGAAGUGAUUGUGUGAGCAGGCCAAGUCAGAAAGUUGCAAGGAAGCUAUUAUUGCAACAAAACCAGCCACCGCCGCCUCUAGCACCAUCCGGUUCCCGUGCUGCAAGUGCAGUCAUAACCCCUGUGGAGAGGGACCAGACCCCAAGGAGAAAGUAGGGGCUGUCGAGCUGCGUUUAAGUAUGCUUUGCUGGUGCUUUUAGCUAUUUCAAAAGACGCAAGAAGUGGCUCGACAUCACUUAGCCAUAGGCUGCUCUUCCUCAUCUUAAUGAGCAUAGCUCUUGCAACACUGGCUCCGCCAAAAAAACUAGGCGUAAAGUUCAAGGUAAAGUUUUUAAACCAUGUACUUUUUGUCAUCUCAUGUGAGCUGCCAUACACACAUAGAUGAAUCUUUGUUGUUGCUUGGAGGUAGACUUCAUGCUUCUCUCCCAGCAGUCCAGCUCUCUUCUCUUUCUAUUAUGUAUUACUUUUCUUUGAUUUAUGCUUCAGUGACCAAAGUAUGUAUGCUCACUCCCUGCGUGUGGAAGAGAAAUGCACCGGUGUACACCAUAAAAGGAUGCGAAAAGUUAAA
Molecule: long non-coding RNA, 1158 nt
Organism: Rhipicephalus sanguineus (brown dog tick)
Lineage: Eukaryota; Metazoa; Arthropoda; Arachnida; Ixodida; Ixodidae
Exons: 3
Source: RefSeq, a predicted model, not a curated record